CAGCAGCAGCCGCGGGAAUACGGAGGGUGCAAGCGUUAAUCGGAAUUACUGGGCGUAAAGCGCACGCAGGCGGUCUGUCAAGUCGGAUGUGAAAUCCCCGGGCUCAACCCGGGAACUGCAUUCGAAACUGGCAGGCUAGAGUCUUGUAGAGGGGGGUAGAAUUCCAGGUGUAGCGGUGAAAUGCGUAGAGAUCUGGAGGAAUACCGGUGGCGAAGGCGGCCCCCUGGACAAAGACUGACGCUCAGGUGCGAAAGCGUGGGGAGCAAACAGGAUUAGAUACCCCAGUAGUCCCUGUCUCUUAUAA
RNAcentral lists this ribosomal RNA (304 nucleotides) under uncultured bacterium. RNAcentral describes it as "partial 16S ribosomal RNA". It matches the Rfam family "Bacterial small subunit ribosomal RNA", at positions 506 to 809 of the family's 1533-position model. The record is from RNAcentral.